Molecule: ribosomal RNA, 492 nt
Filed under: uncultured bacterium
Lineage: Bacteria
Description: partial 16S ribosomal RNA
Rfam family: Bacterial small subunit ribosomal RNA
Source: RNAcentral
AGUGAACGCUGGCGGUAGGCCUAACACAUGCAAGUCGAACGGCAGCACAGUAAGAGCUUGCUCUUACGGGUGGCGAGUGGCGGACGGGUGAGGAAUACAUCGGAAUCUACUUUUUCGUGGGGGAUAACGUAGGGAAACUUACGCUAAUACAGCAUACGACCUACGGGUGAAAGCAGGGGAUCUUCGGACCUUGCGCGAUUGAAUGAGCCGAUGUCGGAUUAGCUAGUUGGCGGGGUAAAGGCCCACCAAGGCGACGAUCCGUAGCUGGUCUGAGAGGAUGAACAGCCACACUGGAACUGAGACACGUUCCAGACUCCUACGGGAGGCAGCAGUGGGGAAUAUUGGACAAUGGGCGCAAGCCUGAUCCAGCCAUACCGCGUGGGUGAAGAAGGCCUUCGGGUUGGAAAGCCCUUUUGUUGGGAAAGAAAAGCAGCAGGUUAAUACCCCGCUGUUCUGACGGUACCCAAAGAAUAAGCACCGGCUAACUUCGUG